GGGCCUAUAGCUCAGCUGGGAGAGCACAACACUGGCAGUGUUGAGGUCGGCGGUUCGUCCCGCCUAGCUCCACCA
Molecule: transfer RNA, 75 nt
Filed under: Halieaceae bacterium
Lineage: Bacteria; Pseudomonadati; Pseudomonadota; Gammaproteobacteria; Cellvibrionales; Halieaceae
Description: tRNA-Ala
Rfam family: tRNA
About the family: Transfer RNA (tRNA) molecules are approximately 80 nucleotides in length. Their secondary structure includes four short double-helical elements and three loops (D, anti-codon, and T loops).
Source: RNAcentral